UACGUAGGGGGCGAGCGUUAUCCGGAAUUACUGGGCGUAAAGGGUGCGCAGGCGGCCAUUUAAGUCAGAUGUGAAAGGCUACGGCUUAACCGUAGUUAGCAUUUGAAACUAGAAGGCUUGAGUGCAGUAGAGGAGAGUGGAAUUCCUAGUGUAGCGGUGAAAUGCGUAGAUAUUAGGAGGAACACCAGUGGCGAAGGCGACUCUCUGGACUGCAACUGACGCUGAGGCACGAAAGCGUGGGUAGCGAACAGG
RNAcentral lists this ribosomal RNA (252 nucleotides) under uncultured prokaryote. Its description in RNAcentral is "partial 16S ribosomal RNA". It matches the Rfam family "Bacterial small subunit ribosomal RNA", at positions 524 to 776 of the family's 1533-position model. The record is from RNAcentral.